This is an unclassified non-coding RNA of Lingula anatina, 1419 nucleotides long. The record is from RefSeq and is a predicted model, not a curated record. Lineage: Eukaryota; Metazoa; Brachiopoda; Lingulata; Lingulida; Lingulidae.
AGGUCAGACCAAUCAUAUGUAAAGAGGAUUAUUAAAUAAAUUUAAUUCCCUUUACAUUUGUUAUUAAUCAUCUUCCUUAUUCAUAAUUCAAUCAUCCCUGAUAUCAAGAUAGCUGAAAUAUACUCGUGGUGGUUUAAGAAACAGUGUAGUUACGCGCUUCUUUCUAUCGCAGUCUUGGUAAAUUUAAAGAAAUUACACUGGAUAAAUAUACCAGAAUUGCGAUAGCCUUGGCAUAAAACCAUAAUCACUCAUAACCGCAUUAAGUACGUAGCAAACACCAUUGUUAGAUAUCCAAUCGCUUUGAUGUUGUUUCCGAAAGUAUCUUUACAACUGAAUCAAUAUCUGCAAGAAAUGUAUUUUAACGUUCAUUCUAACUCUAUUACAGGAAUUUAAAAGUGAUCCAUCUUAGUUUAAGAAUGUAUGUAAGAAGAAAGUAAUAAAUUUCCUCCGGGUUAAGCACCAAAGGUGUCCACCGGCCAUCGAGAUUGCCAUCAACUGCUCAGGUUGACUUGACCAGCUCCAUUGAUUGGCCCACACCAAUUAAGACCCCCCAUUCCUGGUCACCUUGGCAACUGAGUAGGUGGCAGGUCAAGCUAAGGGCAGAAGAAGAAUAGAAGAGGAGAAUGCCAUUUACACCGGAUUACGUAACAGUGUAUAAAAGGAUAGGAAAGGACAUGCAAGUAAUAAGAAGAAACCUUAAUCAAGAGAACAACAAAAAGGCUCUUGGGAUAGAAAAGUCCAAAAGGUUACAGAACUUACAAGAUCAUCUAACACUGCAGACCGCAGUAUCUUCACGGUUGACUGACAAAGACAAUAACAACAAUGAUGUCAUUCUCAAAGAUAGCAUUAAACGGAGAAAACGGACCUCCUCGUCACAUUGCCACUGGUUGUGUUCGUUUUGCCGCCCUACAUCUAGGUUACAGCGAUACAAGCACAUCCCAAAUAUUUUGAGAAAAAGUUACCAGCUGGCGGCUGGCAAGGCUUUGAAGGAAGAUAGUCCUCGGCGCUAACCGACUAAUUUCUGUAGUUUUAUAAAACAUUUCUACGAAAAAACUCGAACUGUUUUCCAGGAACACCCUUUUUUAUGCAUGACUCAUGUUGUGUCAUAGCGAAAUACUGGUAUAUACGAGCAUGUUCAGUUUACUUCUACUCAGAGAAUUCGUACUCAUUAGAAAACGUUUCAUAACAUACUCAGUGUCACUAUAAUAGAAGUGCUAGAUGGAAGAUAGUCUUCGUUAAGUAGAAUUCUUAUGGUAACAUUUAAUCAUUCUGUAUCAAUAACAGGUGUAAACCAUGUAAAAGUGGUACCGAUGAAGAUUGCCGCCGCUCUCACCUAUGUCCCGCGGUUCAGUUUGCCUUCGUGUUACGGUAAAUUUUCCUCCAUUAAGCACAAAUAUUAAAUUUAUAUUUACAAGAAAU